RNAcentral lists this long non-coding RNA (3837 nucleotides) under Malus domestica (apple). RNAcentral's name for it is "long non-coding RNA (MDOM_LNC016908)". The record is from RNAcentral. Lineage: Eukaryota; Viridiplantae; Streptophyta; Magnoliopsida; Rosales; Rosaceae.
CUGAACUAUUUAUCAAAGUGAACUAGAAAACCACACUUUUUUACCAAAGCAAACUGGACUAUUUAUCAAACUGAACUAUUUAACAAACUGAACUAUUUAUCAAACUAAACCAUUUAGCAAACCGAACUAUUUAGCAAACUGAAGUACAAAACCACACUUUUUUACCAAAAUAAACUGACCUAUUUAUCAAAGUGAACUAGAAAACCACACUUUUUUACCAAAACAAAUUGAACUAUUUAUCAAACUGAACUAUUUAUCAAACUGAAGUAGAAAACCACACAUUUUUACCAAAACAAACUGAACUAUUUAUCAAAGUUAACUAGAAAACCACACUUUUGUAUGAUAGCAAACUGAACUAUUUAUCAAAGUAAACUAGAAAACCACACUUUUUUACAAAUCAAACUGAACUAUUUAUCAAACUGAACUAUUUAGCAAACUGAACUAUUUAUCAAACUGAAGUAGAAAACCACACUUUUUAACCAAAACAAACUGAGCUAUUUAUCAAACUGAAUUAGAAAACCACACUCGUUCGUGAAUGCAUCCCAGAUUUUACUAUUUCCUUACAUUUCAAUUCUAUUUACAAAUGAAGCAAAUUGUAAACUAUUUCGUAAAAACUGUUUAUUAAACUUAAAAAUCGUGAACUAUUGUAAACACUGUCUAUUAAACUAAAACACCACCGGAAUAGAAUGUUGAUUAUAUUUAAGUUAUUUAAGCACAGAAAACAACAUACGAGGGCAAGAAAAUACUAUUUAAAGGUUAUAAGAAAACAAGCAGUUAUCAAAGUGAAGUAAAAAUAUACCAUUUUGCAAAAACAUUGCUAUUCGAAGCAUGCAAACUUACAUAUUACUAUAAAAUCACUGAAAAUAUCAGAAAUUUUGUGGUACGUACCUCUGUUUCUUCUCUGUUGCUUUUAUUUCCCAAUUUUUUUGUGUGUUUUCGUCUGGAUGCAAAUCAGAACUCUGAACUGGAAACAUAAUUCAUUUUUUAGAAUGUCAAACAUGCAAAUGCACAUAUUUAGUAAAUUAAAGUAAGAAAUCAUCAAGAAUAUCAGAAAUUAUAGGUUCGUACCUGUGUUUGUUCGAUUUCGACUCUGCAAACAUACAGUUCGAAUGUUUUCAGUUUUUCGUCUUCAAAUGGAGUUUUUGGGUUGAGAAAUUCCGGAUUUGAUGUGUAGAUUAUUGUUUGAAAACUUGAAUCGAACUUGAAAACGCUUUGAGAUCUUGACGUUUGGAGUAAUGGAGGUUUCGAUUUUUUGGUACGGUGUGAAGGGGUUGGUAAACAUUAAUGGCGUUGGGAGGGAUGAUGAAUUUUAGUAACUUCGGCUAACGGGCCUGGGUUAGGCUCCGUUAGGGGCAAUUUUGGAAUAUUAAUUGUUAUGCGGUGAUGCGAAAAUUAACUUAACACACAAAUUAAACCCUCUUGUUAUCAAUUGUAGUAAAGAAUGUAAGUAGGGAUCGUUCUAGGCCGGAGAUUAGGAGGGAUUGCUAAAACACCUGAAACUGACUUAAAAAUGUAGAAUUAAGUUACCAAACUAGACUCAAAAGAUGCAAUACAAACUAAAAAGACUCAAAACAGCUUAAAACAAUGAAUUAGACUCUAAACUGACUCAAGGGAUGAGUUUGGACGAAAUUAGGUUCUAACUUGACUCAAGACACUUAAAAACACAAAUCAAAAUAUAUUUUGACUAAUAAAACACUUUAAAGUAAAGGGGAUUGGAUUUUGACGAAUUUGAAAAAAAAAACAAACAGAUUGUAAGCUAAAACAGAUUUUGGACGAAUUUGGGUAAACUAUGGAUGAUGGGCUAGCUAGAUGGUUCCUCUCCACACAUGACACAGUUGCACAUAAACCAAUUUUCAGUUGUUCUUUCGAUGAAUAAUGAAACUCAACACCCCAUGUUAAUUAAGUCCGCUUAAAUUAACCUUCAAGUUCUUUUUAAGUUAUUGAAUUGGAUGGGAAAGUGCAUACAACAAUUCAAGCAUUCUUCAAAAGUCCUUUACGUGAACAACACAAUAAAAAAACAAUCAAAGAUCAUUAAGCAUUAUGAAAACUAUAAGUAUUGACGAGGCAUUCGUUACUAUGAUGAGCAUGAAACUCCUGUCAAGAAUUCAUUUAACGGGAUCAUUUAUAAGCGACCUCCACUACUUGUGAAUAUAAGUUUGUAACUAUUAGGUGAAACUCCCUUAUAUUCUAGCAUCAUAUUCAUGCAUGCAACUAAGUGUGCACUCUUAAUAAACAUACACGAAUAAGUUAACAAUCAAGCAGCUAAACAAAUUGAAUUCACAACUUGUGAAAUCACAACUGAAGGUAAUCAAUUCAUAUUGCAAGUAUGUUCAUGGCUUUGAAUUUCCUCCUAGCUAAGGGGGGUUUAGUUACUCAUAAUUGCAAUAAAAUAAGAAAAUAACAAAGUAGAUAUUGAAAGCAAGAACGAAGUACACCUAAAACGCUCCAAAGUUUCAAGCUUGCAACUCCAAGGACCUUCGUUUUCACCACCUUGUUGCAGCACAAGUAUCUAAUGAUGUGUAUGGAUUUAUGGAAAGGUUAUGAAUGUAUUUAGGUUGGAUGGAUGCCACGGCAAGGUUGAAGGGAAUGUAUGGAUUUUUGUUUGAUUUUUGGUUGGAUGAGUGUCACGGCAAGGGAAUGGAUUUGUAUGUGUUUGUGGGAUGUGGGAAUAUAUGGUUGAAUGUAAGGUGCUCACGGCUAGGGAAUUGGAAUUCUAGUUAUGGUGAAGGGUGGAUGUAUUUAUAGGCUAGGGAGAGGAUGUAGUGGGUGGUGGUAAUGAGUGGAUGUAGUGGUAGGUGAAUGUGUUGGGUGGUUGAAAUGAGUGGAUGUAGUGGUAGGUGAAUGUGUUGGGUGGUUGUAAUGAGUGGAUGUGUUGGGUGAAAUGAGUGGAUGUAGUGUUAGGUGAAUGGAUGUGUUGGGUGAAAUGAGUGGAUGUAGUGGUAGGUGAAUGUGUUGGGUGGUUGUAAUGAGUGGAUGUAGUUGUACGUGAAUGUGUUGGGUGGUUGUAAUGAGUGGAUGUGUUGGGUGGUUGUAAUGAGUGGAUGUGUUGGGUGAAAUGAGUGGAUGUAGUGGUAGGUGAAUGUGUUGGGUGGUUGUAAUGAGUGGAUGUGUUGGGUGAAAUGAGUGGAUGUAGUGGUAGGUGAAUGUGUUGGGUGAAAUGAGUGUGCUAAAAUGGUUAUUUAUAGGGAGUGGAUGAUGCACAAACUUCAAAUUUCAUCCAUUCCUUUUGCUCCAAGCAUAUGCUAUCCAUUCCAUGCCAAAAAAUGCUCGAAAAUGCUCCAAAAUGCACUUCUUUAACACAUUAACCCUUUGGACCUUCAAACACACGAAAAUAGCUUAAAAUACUAAAAUAACUACGAAAUAACAACAUAAAUGCCAAGAAACAAGCUAACUAAGUCGCAUAAAUAUGCUGCUAUCAAAUUCCCCCACACUUAGCUUUUGCUAGUCCUCGAGCAAAACAAAACAAACAAAACAAAACCAAACAAAACACAACCUAAACCUUCCAACAAUUGCCUCAGGGAUUUUUAAUGAAACAUGACAUGCCAAAGAUCAUCACUUACAUAGAUUUAAGCAAUCCAUACCCUCGAGCAUACUUAAUCAUAAUCACACUGGUUCACAUUUAAUCAAUUAAAACAACAUUUUGAAUGUAGUAACAUGCCUUAGAGAAUUCCCUCAAUUCCUUACUAGAUACUCUCUAUUUUCACACACAUUUUCUGAUUACACACCCUACACCAGUUAUAUGUGAGAAGAUUGAUGUAAACAUGAAAGACUAGUACUCACAUAUGUUACAACAAAGAAAGCAAUUUCUGGAGUUAAUAAGCAUGUUUAAAUAUGAUC